GGAAGUUAUGUGAAUGAAUAAAAGGUGAUGGGCAGAGGUGGCAUGUUGGAUGAUCAUUGAGAAAGAGAGAGAGGGAACCGGAGAGAGAAAGGGACGUAAGAUUAGAGAAAGAGGAGAGAGAGAGAAGUAGCGAGUGGAGAGAGAUGGAACGAAAAAAUGUAAGAUUGUUAGAAUUUGCGGUAUUUUUAUUUUUAAUUUUUAGGGCAUGGUAGUUUUGAUUUUUUGCACAAAAAGUGACUAAUUUUAAGUUUUAAAUUUGACUAGACAAAUUUUAAGUUUAUUAUAAUAAAU
Molecule: long non-coding RNA, 291 nt
Filed under: Salvia miltiorrhiza (redroot sage)
Lineage: Eukaryota; Viridiplantae; Streptophyta; Magnoliopsida; Lamiales; Lamiaceae
Description: long non-coding RNA (SMIL_LNC003332)
Source: RNAcentral